Molecule: long non-coding RNA, 314 nt
Organism: Manacus vitellinus (golden-collared manakin)
Lineage: Eukaryota; Metazoa; Chordata; Aves; Passeriformes; Pipridae
Exons: 2
Source: RefSeq, a predicted model, not a curated record
AGAUUUGGGAAAUGCCCCUACGGUACCAAACCAAUUGGAAGAUGCUCAACAUUUAGAGUAUGUUGCAAAAGCACCUGGGGUUGAGACCCUGAAAUGUCCAAGCAGGACGUCCCCCUUGCUUCUGGCUCCUGGAACCAUCUCCUGAGGUCCUCUCCCCUCCCUGCCUCUGCCAUGCCCAGCUGCUGGCACAGCAGCAGUGGCAGCUGCUCCUGCUGGGUGCUGCUGGGCUGGAGACAUCUCAUGCCAGCCGUGGGGUCUGUGGGGCAGAGGCUGCUUUUCCCAGCUUGAAUAAAGAUGAGCAGUUUGGCAUUGCA